This 373-nucleotide ribosomal RNA is filed under the name uncultured bacterium. RNAcentral's name for it is "partial 16S ribosomal RNA". It matches the Rfam family "Bacterial small subunit ribosomal RNA", at positions 338 to 729 of the family's 1533-position model. The record is from RNAcentral.
CCUACGGGAGGCAGCAGUGGGGAAUAUUGCACAAUGGGCGAAAGCCUGAUGCAGCAACGCCGCGUGAGCGAUGAAGGCCUUCGGGUCGUAAAGCUCUGUCCUCAAGGAAGAUAAUGACGGUACUUGAGGAGGAAGCCACGGCUAACCACGUGCCAGCAGCCGCGGUAAUACGUAGGGGGCUGGCGUUAUCCGGAUUUACUGGGCGUAAAGGGUGCGUAGGUGGUUUAUUAAGUCAGAGGUAAAAGGCUACGGCUCAACCGUAGUAAGCCUUUAAAACUGGGGAACUUGAGUGCAGGAGAGGAGAGCGGAAUGUCUGGUGUAGCGGUGAAAUGCGUAGAUAUCAUGCAGAACACCAGUUGCGAAGGCGGCUCUC